AGAGUGAACGCUGGCGGUAGGCCUAACACAUGCAAGUCGAACGGCGAGCACAGGAGAGCUUGCUCUCUGGGUGGCGAGUGGCGGACGGGUGAGGAAUACAUCGGAAUCUA
RNAcentral lists this ribosomal RNA (110 nucleotides) under uncultured soil bacterium. Its description in RNAcentral is "partial 16S ribosomal RNA". The record is from RNAcentral.